This 617-nucleotide long non-coding RNA is filed under the name Cricetulus griseus (Chinese hamster). RNAcentral's name for it is "lncRNA (ENSCGRG00000024381.1)". Lineage: Eukaryota; Metazoa; Chordata; Mammalia; Rodentia; Cricetidae. The record is from RNAcentral.
UUCGUUUGCGUCCCGGACAAAGGUCUCCAGUGGCGCCAGUCUUGGACGCGUGACUCGGUCCUUCUGGCCACUCUUUUGCGUGGUGGGUCGUUGGAUUCAGGACUGCAGAAUCCCGGAGAUCAGGAGCGGUGGUGGGUCUCAGGGCACAGGCCUCCCCAUUCGCUCGCCGGCGGCCGUUUCACCCUGGGAAGAGUUGCGGGAGCUGCUCCGCGCUGCCCUCGGCUGUUCCUGAGCGCCCAGGAGCCCAGCGCAAGUCACCCCGGACUCCAGCUAGCGGCCGCGGGCACGCCAGCGCAGCGCUAGCGGUGGCCAAGAGGUGGUCUGGCAGGGCGGUGGACCUGUGUGCCGCGGUCAUGAUCAAGCUUGGAGAGGCUUGUACCUGUCAUGGUGGAGAUGUUAGCGGACAGUGGACAUGGAACAUUGAUGAACUCCUCCACAGCGGGCUAGGAGUGAAUGGGAACAGGAAGCAGAGGCCUACCCAACACCAGAAAGCUCAGUUAAUGGAGCAUGUCCUUGCCCAAUCAUUGCUUCCUUGCUGUACUUUGGAGCCUCAGAACAUUACCAAAGCACCUGGAGAGGCGGAGAAAUCAGAGAGAUUCAGCCAGCUGAGCGGUUAG